Molecule: signal recognition particle RNA, 304 nt
Filed under: Vombatus ursinus (common wombat)
Lineage: Eukaryota; Metazoa; Chordata; Mammalia; Diprotodontia; Vombatidae
Description: Metazoan signal recognition particle RNA (ENSVURG00010018836.1)
Rfam family: Metazoan signal recognition particle RNA
About the family: The signal recognition particle (SRP) is a universally conserved ribonucleoprotein. It is involved in the co-translational targeting of proteins to membranes.
Source: Rfam by way of RNAcentral
GCUGAUUAUAAUGGUACAUGCUUGUAGUGCCUCCUGCUGGGGAGACUAAGGUCAGUGGAUUGCUCGAACCUGGAAGUUCUGAGCUGCAAUAGGGCUAAAGCUAAUUAGAUGUCUACGCUGAGUCUGGAAUCAAUAUGGUGAGUCCCUAUAAAUGGGGCAUGGGGACAUCAUGCUGCCUAAGGAGGAGUGAACCAGCCAAGGUCAGAAAUGGAUCAGGUCAAAACUCCAGGGCCAAUCAGCAGUGGAAUUGGGUCAGUGAGUGGUUGUUGCAUUUCCAGUUUGUGAAAGAGAGAAAGAAAGGAAA